UUCCAGGGCUCGUCCAUCCCCAGCUCCAUGAAGAAGCUGGUGGUGACUAAGCUCAGCCCAAACUUCAGGGAAGCGGUUACCCUACAGCAGGACUCGCCCGUGCCGCUCCCGGGAGACGGAGACCUCCUGGUCAGAAACAGGUCUUGCAAAAAAAAAACCAAAACCAACAACUUUACAAACGGGCUGCACACAAGAAGCUUCUGUGGUUCUGCUUAGGGGAGUUUUCACUGGGAAGCUUCGCUAAAUCCUACAGCGUGCCAUAUUAACAAAUAAGGGCUGGAAAGAGCGUGAGUUCUUGGCACCUAUUCUGCAGGUGAGAAUUUUCUACUUGUCAGAUGCACUUAGCUCUCCUGGACUUACAGGGCUUUCUGAUGUCAUUUUGAAGCAAAAAUGUUACAUUCAAGCCUUCUGUCACAGGACAUGUAGUCUCAUUGCACCUGUACUCUUCAGCCAAGUUUAUCCUGUGAAGUGUCGAACAACCUCAUCUUUCUUCAGAACUGAAACUUAAGGACUCUGAAAACCUCAAGAAACAUCUCGGUUUACUGCAGGACCAGACAGCACAUCAUACAAACAUACCCUCUGGGCUUUCUGUUAGAGAAGGAGGAAGAAGUCUUUAUCUUUCAUCACAAGAGGGAGGUCAAAAGGACCGAGCGAGUGCCAGACCGAGUCACUUCUGCUGUUCUAGAGUUCAUUUGCAGAGGAGCGAGGCAGACACACAAAUCUCAUUAUGCAUUACGAGGAUCUGUGCACAGGCUUCUUGUGCGCUGUCUUAAAACUGAACCCCUAAGGGGCUAAUUCACAAAGGGAAUAGGAGGAAAGCAAAUUUGUAUGUUUUCUGGAAGCAGUAAGACAUGACAUGCAGCGCGGUUCUGGCUGAUUACAGCAUGCCUCAGGUGAGCUGGGAGGCACAAGGCUGUGAGCCAAGUGAUUUCAACCACCCAAAAAGACAACUCCACAGAAAUGCAUUGUGUGGGAUGUCUGAUCGCUACAAAAAAAACCACCCUGACUUCAUUCAUGUUGGCAUGACAUUAUUGGCAUGACUGUUUCUGGCAGCCUAUCAGAAAGUUUUAUUUGCAUCCAGAGUUUUGAAAGCCAUUUCAUAACGUUAAAUAAGGGUAAUGCUGCUAAUGUCUGGCUUAAUUGCCCCUUGACACCUAUGUGUAAUCUCUCAUUGAAGCCCUAAUGAAGGGUUCUUCUCAGGUUGUGUUAUUUUCGAAGUAACCCCUGCAUACAAGCAGCAUAAUGUACCUUUCCUCCCUGCAUAGGUGUGGCAAGAAUAGCCAGAAGGAAGUGGAUAAAGUAUGUUAUUUUUCCUGUAUUCUCAGUAAUCGAGAUGCAGAGUCAGUUAUUGGAUCAUUUGACUUCUUACUGAGCUGGGAAACCUCAAUCUGCUAUCACAAGUGCCUACAAAUAAGGGAGAUAUUGAGUCAGUUUCCUCUCCUGGGAAUGUAAAUGAGGAACAAGAAUAACGCACUUGAAUUCAGUGUAAAAACCGUCUUUGAGAAGAACCUGGCUCUUAUUUCCUUGUGUUUGUGUGUAUGUGUUCACGCUGCAGGAAAACAGUUCUAACACAGACCUGCCUAACCUGAAAUUGUAGUGAAAUUUCCCAGGGCCUCCAGAUAACUCCCAAAGUCUUGGGAAACUCAGUGUUUUCGCAGCCACCGCUGUUGUAAGAGCUCUGGUGGCAACAGCAGCAGCUUUGCAAGCUCCGAGCUCUCGGAUGACGAGUGGUGACAAAGCGAGCCCUGCUCAAGAGAAACUGCUACAAAGGCAGCCCUCCAGUUCUCAGGUGUCAUUCUCAGGAUGAAUUCAGGGGUGAGGGACAGCUUGUCAUCCCUCCUAGUGUAAAAAAACAGUUCUCCCCCACCUCAAAAAUCCUGAGUUACUUGAUAACUAUUCUUCCCUUCUCCUUCUUUCUCUCCACAUCCCUCCCUACUCCCAGAAAAAAAAAAAAAAAAAGUGAAAUAAUAAAGGGGGAGGCUGCUGGAAGUGUGGAAAUGUUUCAGGCUUUUCUCUCCCUUUGCACGGGGGAGUUCAGUUAUCCUUGUCUUGUAACGUGUCUAAACCUAACAAAGCACAUAAAAGUUUUGCCUAUAGGCUCUGCAACAAAAUUUGAGUAGAUUUAUGAUGAAUAUACAUAGUUUCUGUUUUGCCACAGAAAGAGACAUCACUUUUGUUUUUAAUAUACAAGGUCUUUUAUUCUGGUGAGAUGGGGAAGAAAAAACAAACCACCAAGGACUCUUUCCACUUGUAUGAUUUCAUUUGCAGUGUCUUUCAUUCUAUCUGUUAGUGCUACAGUUUAAUGUAAUGAACCUACUUUUAUUGCAUUUCUUCCUUUCCUGUUUGCAAAAAUCUGACAUGUUCAACAGUCACAAAAUACAUGUCAUGGUGCAAACAGUAAGAAGCCAAAUAUUCUUUCUUUCCCACAAAGCUGAAAUUGUAGUGGUACAAAACAGUCCAGCAGUGGUUCUGGUAUGAACCAGAGUACUGUAAGGUGAAUGGAGGGCUGUGGAUAAAACAUGUUGUAGAGAAAAAGGUUGUAACAAGCAGGGGCAAAAAGGGACAUUGGUGGUGGCAUUGUUUUCAGGUGACUGGGUUUGUGCUUCCCCUUGGAUGAGUUUAACAAGCAGCAACAGGCAUUUUCUUCCUGUGCAAAUCAGAGGCGGUCCUAAAUCUAGCAGCAGUACUUCACAAAUACAUUGCAAUGAGAACUAAUGCCAGUGCCCCUGAUUUCUGCAGUCUUUUCUUCUGCCUUCUUGGCCUUAUGUCACAUUUUCAACUAAUUACAAACGCAAAGUGAAGACAAUUAUUUCUUUGCUUCCAGAAAUAUAUUCAGGACUUUACCAUGUCUGCUACAUACAAGUGGCAGUAGUACCUCUUAAAACUUUCAGUAAACAAAAUGCUAACAAUGCCUUAGUGAUGAAUGGAGGGGAAUGAACAGUUAUUCAGGCUUAGAUUUAAUUGGGACGUCCCAGCAAAUUUUUUGCCGGAGUACAACUGACAUUCACGCUUACCCAAACCAUGGAAAACUUUCUUGGUCCUUGAAAGUUAGCCAUGCUGUGCUGGAGGGACUACAGAGAAUAGCACUUUUCCAGCGCUUUCCUCUCUAUCACACAGCAAGUGGAAAGGUUGAGCGGACCCCAGUUCUGACACUUCUACAUCAAGCGACAUGCAUGAAGGCCUGAAUGAUUUUAAGGAAACCACACAAGCAUUUUUACACUAAGAACCUGUCUCACUCCAAGAAGAUACAGUCUCAGAGUGCUGUGAGCAAAUUAGCCUUUUUGCUCAACUCUGUAUAAAAAACCCAAACCAAAACCACAACCCUGAACACUCGGUCUUAUCCCCUGCCCCAGGGCUGUCCCAGUUCUCUGCCUGGCAGGCUGUCUUUACUCUGAAGCACACCAGCUCUCCGUAUCUUGUAUAUUUUAAUAUCGACACUGAUCUUCAAUCAGCAUUGCCCUGGCCUUCCAGUGAAAAUAUGCCAAAAUGUCACAGGUUUCCAAAUGAAAUGCAAAUACUGAACUUUCUGAAAUUUACUGAUAGUAUUUUACUCCGUAGCAGCAUCCGAGUUGUACCAGCGAGACACAACAGAAACAAGGGUUUUUGAUUCCUGACAGCAAAGGUAAAGCUCCCUGCACUUGCCACUCCAGAGGUGUCUCAGCUGGAUCGUGUGUAGCACCUCUGGACAAGAAUACGAGUCCUCUGCUUGCUCACUCGCUCAGCAUAAUGAAAAGAAGCGAUGAAAUACUCAAAGUCAGGUCAGCCUACGUCUUGUCGUACAUAACUGUUAUUACACAGAUGUCACAGCAGCAGAUACAAAAUAAAUACCUGGAUAAUGGAAACCAUUUGCUUUGCCUUUAGCCACAGGCAUCAGGUCUGAUUUACUGGUGGCUGGCAGCUAGAGACCAUAGGAGAGCCAGGUCCCUAUAGCCAGCCUCACCUUUACACACUCAGAGAAGGGAAAAGAGCCACAGUGGAAGCUGCUCUGGAGGAGAGUUUCUUGUUUUUCUCCCAUGCCCUCUUCCCCAUGCUCCCUACUGUUCUGCCAGGGCAGGGAGAUUUAGCAGAGCCAUGAAUCUACGCUUACGUGCUGCCCUUUCAUCAUUCGGACCUCGGGUGGAUGUACACAAUCUGGAGCAGUCUUUGCUCAAGGCAAACAAAGUAAAGGAGGAGAGUGACAUUUCAGUCUUUCAUUGUAGAGUCAUUCAGGUCACUCGCUGAAAUUAUAGACACCAGCUCCAGCAAUGUUAACAGCCAACUUUAGAUUAUUAACCACUCUUUGGACAGGAGUACAUUUACGGUGCCAGUGCGCAGAGAAUUCCUCCAAAUUACAGGGUGUCCUAACAUAGCCGGUCAAACCACACGGACCUCUAGAUGCAGUAAGCAGUGUAAUUAAGUCUGUUUUCUCAUUUGUACUUUCCCAGCAGCACUCAAAAUACACUCUCGACCACUGGAUGCUGCUCAUUGCAUCAGGCUGUGAAAGGAGAUAAGAGCGAAGGGUGCCUUAACAAUAGCUCAUUAAGGAAACCUCAAACAUUUUCUUAUAUUGCAUUAUUUAUAUUUUGGGUGAUAAUAAAACACUGUUUCCAAGGCAAAGUGCAUUCAAGAAGCUUAUUGGCCUGUAGGUGGUUUCAUUUGAUUAGAUUUCAAAAGCGAAGGCUACAGAAAUUUCUUUUAUCUGCUGCUGUCCUGAAAGACCUGGUUUUUUUUUCUACAUCUCGUCAGGCCAUACAUUGUCAAUACCACUGAGAUCCACCAAACUUCAUUAGCCCUUUCAAAUAUUUCUGGGAAAGGCAGUGACCGUGUUUUUCCCCUAAGGCUCUAGAAAUUUGUCUUCACUGCAACAAUCACUGGCAUCUUUGGUAGGAUCCAUUUUUUAAUAUAAUGACCUUCUGCAUACAAGCAAACACGAAGAGCACCUAAACAUUUAGAUUCCUGUGAAAAGAUCAUAAAGCUGAUUUUACACAAAAGAGUCCCUAUGAAAAAAACACAACAAAAAAUAAUAAUACAAACAAAAAAAUAAUAAUACAGGUAAUGGUCAUGAAUGCCUAUUCUCAUUCCUUAAAUUGUAUUGUAUAGUUAGUCGAGCACUGCAUUAAUUACAGUCUUUCCUCAUAUUCUUUCUUUAUUCUCCUACAGAGCCAUUCUCACUGUGUAACUCUGCUGCAGUACAUUUUGUUACCUAGGUACAGAUCCAAGAAUAAAUUUUGGCCCUGAUCAUGGAAUAUUCACUCACUUUCAAAUAUGGAUGUGACCUGCCUUCUCCUUCUGCGACUAACAGGGUGACCAGAGGCAGUGGAAUGUACACCAGGAUUAGAAAGAAUAAAACCAGAGGGAAAGCAAGCUGUCAAGAGAACAGUGUACUGAAGAGGAAAAAUGUAAACAUGACUUCUAUUUACCAAGAUUAAUAUGUAAAGUUAACAUGUUUGUCAUGGAGUACAUUAAUAUGUAUAUUUUCCCACUAUGUAGAUCUUUUCUUAUAUUACUUAUUAGAAAGAGAUAUAAUCACAAUGAUGGGGCAAGAAUGUCACUUAAAAAUUAGGUGAUGGCCAGUCAACAUAAUAUAACCACUAUGGUGUCAUUUCUGAUUUAGAUGUGGUGAUAUCAGUGUAAUUGCUGCUGGGAAGAAAUUAUAAUGGCUGCUAAUGAUAAAUAAAAUGACAAGAAGGAGGGUCCUCCUUCACAUAUGAUUCCAAGCAAAAUUCAACUGCUGAAUUCCUUAAGCAACUCAGUGCCGUUCAUUGAUGAAGAGGAAAUAAGCAGGUUUUGUGGAGCUGUGCGGCCGUAAGAACUGCACUGUCAUUUCCCAAGCCCAAGCAUGGACACCACAGGUCUAACAAGAUUUCACCACACUUUUUCCACUCAGGGGACAUGUAGUAAUGAAGCUCACAUGAAGUGAAUCUUAAUACAAAGUUAAAAUUAUUCUAACAGAAAGCCCUAUAGCUGGCAAACACAAAGAUAAGCAAAAAUUAGGUAAAGGCAAACGUAUAAUCAUGUGUGUGGAUACUUUUCAAAGCCCCCAAAUACUCCAGUCUUGUUUCUGUAAACACAGGCAGCCAUAACCCAGAGAUCAAAAGACCUUCCUACAUUUGUUUUAUAUCAUAAAUGUGUCAAGAAUGAGCUACACGAAGCAUCGUUCACCCGCUACACAUGGCUUGUUAACCUAGCUGAGAGCAUCUUUAAACUCAUUCACACACUAAAAGCCAGGAAACCAACAUUUGAUUACUAGUUCUAGCAUCAAGAUCAAAGACCACAUCUUCCCAUCUGUGAAGAGCAUGAGCCAAAUUCUUUUCUCCUCUCUCUGCAGUCGCAAAGGAAUCGAAGAACUUGGUCAACAUUAUAUUCCACAUCCUGUGAAUAACACAGCUCCAGUCUAUAAAAGCACAAAACCCAA
RNA transcript from Columba livia (rock pigeon), 6394 nucleotides. It is a transcript of the gene named prostaglandin reductase 3, with no coding region annotated. The transcript has 3 exons. The record is from RefSeq and is a predicted model, not a curated record. Lineage: Eukaryota; Metazoa; Chordata; Aves; Columbiformes; Columbidae.